UGGGGAAUUUUGGACAAUGGGGGAAACCCUGAUCCAGCCAUCCCGCGUGUGCGAUGAAGGCCUUCGGGUUGUAAAGCACUUUUGGCAGGAAAGAAACGUCGCGGGUUAAUACCCCGCGAAACUGACGGUACCUGCAGAAUAAGCACCGGCUAACUACGUGCCAGCAGCCGCGGUAAUACGUAGGGUGCAAGCGUUAAUCGGAAUUACUGGGCGUAAAGCGUGCGCAGGCGGUUCGGAAAGAAAGAUGUGAAAUCCCAGAGCUUAACUUUGGAACUGCAUUUUUAACUACCGGGCUAGAGUGUGCCAGAGGGAGGUGGAAUUCCGCGUGUAGCAGUGAAAUGCGUAGAUAUGCGGAGGAACACCGAUGGCGAAGGCAGCCUCCUGGGAUAACACUGACGCUCAUGCACGAAAAGCGUGGGGGAGCAAACAGGAUUAGAUACCCUGGUAGUCCACGCCCUAAAACGAUGUCAACUAGCUGUUGGGGCCUUCGGGCCUUGGUAGCGCAGCUAACGCGUGAAGUUGACCGCCUGGGGGAGUACGGUCGCAAGAUUAAAACUCAAAGGAAUUGACGGGGUCAUAGCUGUUUCCU
This 589-nucleotide ribosomal RNA is filed under the name uncultured bacterium. Its description in RNAcentral is "partial 16S ribosomal RNA". It matches the Rfam family "Bacterial small subunit ribosomal RNA", at positions 355 to 1375 of the family's 1533-position model. The record is from RNAcentral.